This 489-nucleotide long non-coding RNA is filed under the name Coffea arabica (coffee). Its description in RNAcentral is "long non-coding RNA (CARA_LNC002193)". Lineage: Eukaryota; Viridiplantae; Streptophyta; Magnoliopsida; Gentianales; Rubiaceae. The record is from RNAcentral.
AAAAGUAUACAUAUUUAUUAGUUGGAGAACCAAAUGUACACACUUAGUAGUUGGAGGACUAAAAGUGCACCAAAUGAAAAGCUUUUUGAGGACCAAUGGAUCAUCGAGGUCUUUUGCCCCCAAACAAUAAUGAAGAUCCACAUAACCUACAAGAAAGAAAUGACCAAAAGAAAUCAGAUGGGAAACUAAAAUGACUAAAGACUAUAUCUAAGAUUAAUCUUAACCGAAAAACUGACGUCUAUAUGUUGUUGCAUGUACACUAUUCAACCAUUCCUACAUUUAGCCGUUGAAGCCAAUUUAUAUGGCUCAAUGGUAGAGCCACCACUGUCCAUACUCCCGGUUUAUGCAUUCGUCCAAAGAUGAAGGCCUUCAUCAGGUGCCAUUGUUUGUCGUGACAACCACAAUCAGAAGAAUAACAACUGAAAGAAGUAAUGAAGAUCUCAUCUUUUCUUCCACAAGAUCUGCGAGUUCUGAGGUUGGUUUUUCCUU